CCUAUAUAAGGGAUAGCUGAUAAAAGG
RNAcentral lists this non-coding RNA (27 nucleotides) under Cricetulus griseus (Chinese hamster). The record is from RNAcentral. Lineage: Eukaryota; Metazoa; Chordata; Mammalia; Rodentia; Cricetidae.